CCUUCUAUGGUAUCCGAUUACAUCUCUGUUUCUUUCUUUGUAUCAUCAGAUUCUCUCAACUGCGUAAUUUGUGCGUUUUCUUGUUUGAAAGGAGUGGUCAUGGUGUAAUUUAUUGUAAAGUUAGGGUUUUAUUUUGGUAGGGUGUGUGUGUUGUGGGGGGGGGGGGGAUUGUAUUGUUAGAUCGUGCUAGGGUUUCUGAAUUUCAGAAAUUGCUAAAAUUUGGAGGAUCGUGAUUCUUGUAGUAAAAGGCCCAAAGUUAACUCCAUUUCGCUGUAAGACCUGCUUCUGCGCCUUCAUUUGUAGUCUUUACCAUUAUUUUUGUUUGAAUUAGUCAAAUUAUUGAAUAUUAGAGUGAAACUGGCCAAAAUGCAUAAUGAAUAAGGAGGCAUAGUUGAUGUUAUAGGGCCGACUCGAUAAUUACAGAGAUUCAAGAGUCCUCAAAUGCAUGCUUUUGGGUUGUUAUGUACAUUUGUAAUUAAAGUCGAGCCUGUUUCGGAGCAUUGAGUUUUGAGGAAGGUACAUUUUUGCAUAGUUAUUCCAGGAGAAAGAAUAUAACACUGUAGAAAUUUUGUGAAAGCAUGUUACUUAAUAUUUGGUAGAAUUAUGUUUAAAGCUAUUUGUAUUAUGGAUUUUCAAAAUGCAAAGUAAAAUUUAACUCUUUAAUUUGAUAAUAGACGAACUAUCAUUUGAAGUAAGGCCCAAAUUCAGGUUUAAAGACGAGCUUGUAAUAACGUAUUUUUCCAGUCUAAAAGCUCUUAUCUGCUGCAUUCCUAAAAGAUGCCAAGUGAGCCAACAUGCCUUUAGGUUAAAAAAAGUUUUACUAUUUUAUAUUUUCCUAUGUUAGUGCGGGGUGUGGGAGGGUCCAUUUGUAGUUGUCACAGUUUUUGGUGAUAACUUUAAGGGAAGUCAAAGAAGCUUCUUAUAUAAUAGCGAGUUAUGUUACACCAGUCCUUGGUCAAAACAAAGGUUUAUACACCUGCCUGGUUUGACGUAACAGACAUGAAGGACGGUUAGUUAAAACAAAUAGAUAUUAUUUUAUAUUACUUCUUGUUCUCCUCAUUCUCAAAAUAUUAAUAUUUGCUUAAGGUUGAAAUCUUUGAAUACUUAUCUGUUACUCAGCAUUAAUGAAAUCGUUUUUACAAUUGUUACGUUUGUUUCUUACAAUUUUGUAUUACUUUAUUCCGUAAUUCUUGGUUGCAGAGAUGUUUAUUUCUCUAUUGUUUUGUCACGCCCCAAAACCGAGGAGCGCGACCGGCGCUCAACCGAGUGAACCCGACCGAGCAAGCCUGGUAGAUUUUCUUCUACCCAACUCAUCCAUGAAUGGAGAUAAUACAUAUUGUCAUUAAUUAGACAAAAAUGUGUUCAUGUCCACAAUACCAAUUCAUUACCAAUAGUUCCAUCAUUUUUAAUGUCUUAAAUAGAACAAGUAAUACAACCACAACAUAACAUAGUUUAUCUUUCCCAGCACCAAUACACAACCCACACUAUGUCUACAGAGCCUCUAAAAUACUAAAGAGUACAAUGGUAGUGCCGGCAAAAAGGCUCCGGCUAUACCUCAAAAUACGAUAACACAUACGAAACAAAAGAUGUACAACCCCGGAAUGAGAUGUGGCUCACCAAGUCAGCUGGGGAGAAUGAGCACCGCUAUCACUGGUCAAUAUCCUCCGCUGUGGAACCACCUGCAUCCAUGAAAGAUGCAGCGCCCCCGACAAAAGGGACGUUAGUACAUGUCGAAUAGUCCUAGCAUGAAAACCAAACACCAAUUAAAGAAUUCAAAAAUACAAUAUAAAUAUGAUGAACCAGGGCGACACUAGAAUGGCAUAGUUAACUGUUUAAACCAAAGCAAGAUUAUCAAGAGUUGUCAUUAACAUAUAUAGAAUUUAAGAUGAGAUCCUCUAUAACCGUUCCCACACAAAGCGGUCCCGCCGCCUCACCCUAAUGUAUACGGGUGGAGGUGUAAACACAAUACCAAAACUCUACUAAAGCGGCCCUGUCGCCUCACCCCAAUGUAUGCGGGUGGAGGUAUAACCACAAUACCAAAAACCUACACAAAGCGGCUAUGCCGCCUCAUCCCAAUACAUGCGGGUGGAAAUGCAUCAACGAUACCAAUACCUACACAAAGCGGCCUUGCCGCCUCACACCAAUAUGUAUAUGUGGGUGGUGGUGCAACAACAAUACCAAAAUCAUACACAAAGCGGCUCUUCCGCCUCACCCCAAUAUAUGCGGGUGGAAGUGUAACCCCAAUCACAAUCUCUACACAAUUUGGCAUAAUAGUUUUCCACAUAAAUCGUGACUUGGAAUCAUAAUACGUAGAUACACAAUCCAUAGUUUGGAAUACAUCCUCAAUUUAUAAUACAAUAUGAUAAGAGCAUUUGAAACACGAAAUGAAAAUAUAUCUUUGUCACAAAACUUAUUCGGAAUACUCAACUUGUAAUAAAUAUCUUGGAACUUACAAGAAUAUUGGGGUUCCAAUUCUUAAAGAAGAGUUUAGCCAACAUACCUCAAUGGAGCUUCCUCAAACUCUAAAUUGUUCCGGAAUUCUUAGCAACUUCAAUCUAUUUUAGAAAUAUAACAAAUUGAACCAAAAUUAGGAAGAUGUUCAUGGUUCUAGCUCAUUUGAGCAUUUUAUCAAACACUAGGUGUGCAUUAAAGUUUCAAGGUCCUUUUAUGGAGGAUUCCAUCAUACCACAACCCAAUCUUUACCAUUUUUAGCUCAACAAUCUUCCUACACCCUUUGAUAACAAAUGCAUGUAAAAUAAACAACUCUCAUGACCAAAAAUUAUUUUGCUAAUUACCCAUUUCUAGACAAAAUUCGAAAUUGAGGGUUAGGAUGUAGAAUCUUACAUCUAGAAUGAAGACCUAGUGAUUUUCCCUUCUUAAUCUUCCUAAAUUUGAUCAAGAAUUGAAGAACAAUUAUUGAGGAACACCUUCUCAUUCUAGGGCACUCUCUCUCACUCUAAAAUGUCAUAUUUUAGCUCAAAAAUGACCCAAAGCGUGUAUUGAACGAAGUAGGGUCGGGUUUUGAAAACCCAAAAAUGAAGCUCCGGAACAAGGUCUGCGAUCGCAUAAUCGAUAUGCGGACCGCAUAUCGGCCGCAUAAUUGGUGUCCAAAGCUGGCAAAAAUCUGCCUGGGUCUGCGGUCGCAUGGCAUCCAAACUGCCCCUCUCCUGCCUCACACUGCGGCCAUUAUGCGGUCCGCAGAGUGAUUCUGCGGUCGCAUAAUGGACCGCAGAAACGUAUUUCUCUGCCAAAAUUUUUUCCUUUAUCCCUCAGUGCAUUGUUCAACCCAAAAAGUCCGAUCCGGCACCACGAAACAUUAUAUUUCUUUUUUCAAAAUUUUACGGGGCCUUACAUGUCUAUUCAGUGAUUCUUUGCAGCUAUUGCGGCUACAAUGUUGUUCGCUUACUGACCAUGAAUUUUAUAAUGUUCAAAAUUGUAGAACUGACCCCAAUUGCUACUUGGGAGCGACAAAUUUUAAUAUUGAUGGACUCUGAACAAACAAACAAGUGUCCUUACUCUUGAAAGAAAUGUCUUGAUAGGAAUGUUAGACGGCGUGAACAAUAUAAACUUAA
RNAcentral lists this long non-coding RNA (3572 nucleotides) under Nicotiana tabacum (common tobacco). Its description in RNAcentral is "long non-coding RNA (NTAB_LNC017951)". The record is from RNAcentral. Lineage: Eukaryota; Viridiplantae; Streptophyta; Magnoliopsida; Solanales; Solanaceae.